GAUCUUCAACAUCAAAAACUAAAAGCAAAAGACAGAAACAAAACCCCACGAGUCAAGUAGGUCAUUGGUGUCUGCUGCUCUUAAGCUCUUGUUCCAGCCUGUCCCAGUCUCCAGCAGGUACAACUCUCUAGAGAGAGCCACAGCUGGCCAGGACCAGACAGGACUACUCUGUGUGGUAGUCCUAAGUUAGAGGACAUUCGGGGAACUCGUUUCCACAGUUUUGUUCUUUUUAUGAAAGAGCUUUUGCUUUGCCCAGCCUUUGUUUGGGGAGUUCAGCUAAUAAAGGGGCCAUUUUGCUGGAAUGAAUUACUGAUGAAAGUCCUGCUGGGAUUGGCAGGAGGACGGCCCUCUGGCCUCUCUUCAGCAAGGCCGCCAAGACUGUAAAGUCUGCUGUGGGAUUCGCAGAGGUACAGUACCAUCAAAUGCUCCAGGAAGCUCCACUCACUUGCUUUAAGUUAAAACAGUAAAGAAGUCAAUAUUUUAGCAAAUCUAAGAUUAUGAGUUUGGCCCCUUGUGUCUUCAACGAUCCAAGGUUAAGCAAUAUUGCACCAGCUAAGCAAAAAUAAAUCAGGACACCUCAAGAAAG
Molecule: long non-coding RNA, 586 nt
Filed under: Mus spretus (western wild mouse)
Lineage: Eukaryota; Metazoa; Chordata; Mammalia; Rodentia; Muridae
Description: leucine rich repeat containing 8D, opposite strand (ENSMSPG00010046834.1)
Source: RNAcentral